GACGAACGCUGGCGGCGUGCUUAACACAUGCAAGUCGAACGGAAAGGCCCUGCUUUUGUGGGGUGCUCGAGUGGCGAACGGGUGAGUAACACGUGAGUAACCUGCCCUUGACUUUGGGAUAACUUCAGGAAACUGGGGCUAAUACCGGAUAGGAGCUCCUGCUGCAUGGUGGGGGUUGGAAAGUUUCGGCGGUUGGGGAUGGACUCGCGGCUUAUCAGCUUGUUGGUGGGGUAGUGGCUUACCAAGGCUUUGACGGGUAGCCGGCCUGAGAGGGUGACCGGCCACAUUGGGACUGAGAUACGGCACAGACUCCUACGGGAGGCAGCAGUGGGGAAUAUUGCACAAUGGGCGGAAGCAUGAUGCAGCCACGCCGCGUGCGGGAUGACGGCCUUCGGGUUGUAAACCACUUUCGCCUGUGACGAAGCGUGAGUGACGGUAAUGGGUAAAGAAGCACCGGCUAACUACGUG
Molecule: ribosomal RNA, 468 nt
Filed under: uncultured bacterium
Lineage: Bacteria
Description: partial 16S ribosomal RNA
Rfam family: Bacterial small subunit ribosomal RNA
Source: RNAcentral